Entelurus aequoreus (snake pipefish) is the source of this 1349-nucleotide long non-coding RNA. RefSeq lists it as uncharacterized. The transcript has 3 exons. The record is from RefSeq and is a predicted model, not a curated record. Lineage: Eukaryota; Metazoa; Chordata; Actinopteri; Syngnathiformes; Syngnathidae.
CACACACACACAACUAUACCACACUUGUUCAACUUCACCAUUAAAGGGCGCCUGAAAGGCUCUCUGUGCCCUAAACUCUGACCGGAGUCCUUGUCCUAAGAAGAUAUCAGACCAGCAUUCCGCAUCCAGAGUAACCUACUCUAUCACAGCGCCCUCUUGUGGCCAACAAGUGGACAUGGCUGCCUCCUUGCAGAAAGCUAAACAUCCGGAAACAGACGCUGAAAAGUUGAACUCACAAGCUGCUGCGGAUGACGAGCUGGACGAGGAGGACGAAGUGGACGAGGACGAUCCUCCCAGUUCUGAAAGGCUCCUUCGGUUGGGCGGCAUCGGCAAUCGGGGUUUGGGGUAGUCGUAGCUGUUGUCCUCGUCCUCCCUGUCCUGGACCGAGUGCUCCCUGGGGCCAUUAGUCACAGGCUGAGGGGGCAGCUCGGAAUAAUCUAGAGAGAAAUAUGUUAGGACACAGACUGUCAUGAUCCCACGCAACAGUUUGGAUUUUGGUCUUCAUUUUCCUGAGUUUGGUAUCAUUUCCUGUGACGGUGCUCUGGUUUUAGUAGUACUUCCUGUCGGGACUCCUCGUUCUGCUACACUUUCGGCUUACUUUUAUGCCAGCGCACCUGUUUUCUAUUGGUAAUGAAGUCUAUUUAGGUUCACCUGAUGCUCUUUACCCUUUUGUUUCUGCUGUUUAAUCCUUUUAAAAUGGGAAUUGCACUACUUUUGGAAUGUUGCCUGUCGUUCGCAAUCAUUAUGAAAGACAUGAUGACGGAUGGAUGUUUUUUUAUUGUAUUCUAAAUAUUAAAUUAAAGGCCUACUGAAAGCCACUACUACCGACCACGCAGUCUGAUAGUUUAUAUAUCAAUGAUGAAAUUUUAACAUUGCAACACAUGCCAAUACGGCCGGGUUAACUUAUAAAGUGACAUUUAAAACUUCCCGGGAAAUAUCCGGCUGAAACGUCGCGGUAUGAUGGCGUAUGCGCGUGACGAAGUCCGAGUAACGGAAGUUAUGGUACCCCGUAGAAUCCUAUACAAAAAGCUCUGUUUACAUUUCAUAAUUCCACAGUAUUCUGGACAUCUUUUGCAAUUUUUUUAAUAACAGAAGGCUGCAAAGAAGACAGUUGUAGGUGGGAUCCGUGUAUUAGCAGCGGACUACAGCAACACAACCAGGAGGACUUUGUUGGAGCGCUAGCCGCCGACCUCACCUUGACUUCCUACGUCUACGGGCCGCCAAACGCAUCGGGUGAAGUCCUUCGUCCUUCUGCCGAUCGCUGGAACGCAGGUGAGCACGGGUGUUGAUGAGCAGAUGAGGGCUGGCUGGCGUAGGUGGAGAGCUAAUGUUUUUAGCAUAGCUCUGUG